GUCCACGCCCUAAACUAUGGAUACUCGACAUCAGCGAUACACUGUUGGUGUCUGAGCGAAAGCAUUAAGUAUCCCACCUGGGAAGUACGAUCGCAAGAUUGAAACUCAAAGGAAUUGGCGGGGUCCGCACAAGCGGUGGAGCAUGUGGUUUAAUUUCGAUGAUACGCGAGGAACCUUACCUGGGCUAGAAUGCUGGGAGACCGUGGGUGAAAGACUCACUUUGUAGCAAUACACUGCCAGUAAGGUGCUGCAUGGCUGUCGU
RNAcentral lists this ribosomal RNA (262 nucleotides) under uncultured bacterium. RNAcentral's name for it is "partial 16S ribosomal RNA". It matches the Rfam family "Bacterial small subunit ribosomal RNA", at positions 793 to 1055 of the family's 1533-position model. The record is from RNAcentral.